UGCAAGUCGCACGGAAGCUUCGGCUUCAGUGGCGGACGGGUGAGUAACGCGUAGGUAUCUGUCCACGGGUGGGGGAUAACUCCGGGAAACUGGAGCUAAUACCGCAUGAUACCUGAGGGUCAAAGGCGCAAGUCGCCUGUGGAGGAACCUGCGUUCGAUUAGCUAGUUGGUGGGGUAAAGGCCUACCAAGGCGAUGAUCGAUAGCUGGUUUGAGAGGAUGAUCAGCCACACUGGGACUGAGACACGGCCCAGACUCCUACGGGAGGCAGCAGUGGGGAAUAUUGGACAAUGGGCGAAAGCCUGAUCCAGCAAUGCCGCGUGUGUGAAGAAGGUCUUCGGAUUGUAAAGCACUUUCGACGGGGACGAUGAUGACGGUACCCGUAGAAGAAGCCCCGGCUAACUUC
RNAcentral lists this ribosomal RNA (404 nucleotides) under uncultured bacterium. RNAcentral's name for it is "bacterial SSU rRNA". It matches the Rfam family "Bacterial small subunit ribosomal RNA", at positions 56 to 504 of the family's 1533-position model. The record is from RNAcentral.